This 22-nucleotide microRNA is filed under the name Murid betaherpesvirus 1 (Murine cytomegalovirus). RNAcentral describes it as "mcmv-miR-m01-1". Its record names the gene mcmv-miR-m01-1. The record is from miRBase by way of RNAcentral. Lineage: Duplodnaviria; Heunggongvirae; Peploviricota; Herviviricetes; Herpesvirales; Orthoherpesviridae.
AGAGGAGAAUAACGUCGAACGG